Molecule: transfer RNA, 88 nt
Filed under: Streptomyces rubrolavendulae
Lineage: Bacteria; Bacillati; Actinomycetota; Actinomycetes; Kitasatosporales; Streptomycetaceae
Description: tRNA-Pro
Source: RNAcentral
GGCCCGGUGGCCGUCGGAGCGGUGGCGUCGGUCGGGGCGGCGGUGAGGGUGGUGGUCCGGCUCAUCGGGUCUCCUCCAGUUCGGGAUG